CACUGAAACACAGGUUCUCCUACGAUCGCCGAAGUUAAGCAACGUUGAGCCUAGUCAGUACCUAGAUGGGUAACCGUUUGGGAAUACCAUAUGCUGUAAG
Acanthosepion pharaonis is the source of this 100-nucleotide non-coding RNA. The record is from the annotation of a GenBank genome assembly. Lineage: Eukaryota; Metazoa; Mollusca; Cephalopoda; Sepiida; Sepiidae.